AUGACAAAACUAUUUAUAGCAGAGGUUACAAAAGCUUUAAAAGAUAGUGAUAAUAAUUCAACCCACUCCAUCUCAGACAUAUUUGGAUGCAGCGCUCCAGAUUUCGAGGUCUUCCUGAAGCAGAAAAUUUCAGCUUGGAUCAUUCUGUGCCUCAAUGAAGAGCAAAGAAAAAAGCAGUCUUCAAAAUGCCACGGAAGGCAGAAUCCAGUGGCAGCUGACGGAUGCAGAGCCUCCCUGUGAUGUUUUAAUGAGUGAAGAAGGAGAGUGGGAGGCCAGGCUCCGAAAAAGAAGCCCCGCUCUUCAUCCUGUUCAGCUGUGAGGCUCCUCCUUGGCGUUUUGCAGAAGGCUAAGCAUCUCGAUUUGCUGAAGCAGCUGAACUGGAAAAAUUCAAAACAGUCUUGAUAAUAUGAAAAGUUGAGAGGAGAGGCAGUCUGUGUUAUCACUUUGAAGCAGUUCUUUACAUUUUGAAAAGGAAAACACAAACUGCUUCCUGCUGCUCUUUGCAGGUGGUCAAUUUUUUUAGUAUUUAAGACAUGCUGCAAAAAAGAAAUGUUAUAUACCAUUAUUUCUCUGACUUGAAAGGUCUAGUCUAAGCUUGAUGUAUACGGAUGCAUGUUUUGCUGAUGUACUAGGCAUGGGCGAAUUAAUCGGAAUCGUCAUUAAUCGUUGUUAACCAUAUCUAUUUUGGGUUCCAAAUGGAGUUCCGAGGUGGUUUGGCGCUUCCAAAUUAACCUUCCACUUCGAAGCAUUGGAGCCUAUCCUCGGAAUACCUUCGGAUAUAUGAGAAAGCAUUUUGGCUAGCACUGGGCUUAAGAGCCCCAUAGAAACAAAGCCUGUUAGCAUCGGGGCAUAAGAGCCCCACAGAAACCAAGCCUGGAGUGUUUUCCCUCCUGGAUAGAACUGGGCCGUUUUGAGAUAGCAUGGUGUAGAGUACUGGUUUGAAAGUUGGAUUACAAUUGUGGCUCGAUUCCCCGCUCAGCCAUUGAAACCCACUGAGUGAUCUUGGGCAAGUCACACACUCUCAGCCCCAGGAAACCCAAUGAAACAGGAAAUAACGCUUUCAAACCAGGAACAGAUUUUCUUAUUCAGAGGCUGAUGGCCAUCUGUCAGGAGUGAUUUGAUGGUGUGCUAUGAUUUCUGUUCCUGGUUGAUAAAUGUCAUUUCCUAAUUGGUUCUGUUAUAAAAACAUGGCGAAACUUGAUUACACUGCCAAAACUUUGUCUUUGCACAAGGGACAUUGUCCUAUAAAAAUAGCACAUUGUUGUUGAGCAGGGGUCCCCAAACUUUUUAAGCAAAGGGCCGGUCCACAAUCCUUCAGACUGUUGAGGGGCCGAAUUAUCAUUUGAAAAAAUAUAUACAAACAAAUUUCUAUGCAUACUGCACAUGUCUUCUUUGUAGUGCAACAACAACAACAACAACGAAAGAACAAUACAAUAUUUAAAAAUGAAAACAAUUUUAACCGACAUAAACCUAUCAGGAUUUCAAUGGAAAGUGUGGGCCUGCUACUGGCCAAUGAGAUAGUCAAGUUAAUUAGGAUUGUUGUUGUUGUGUGCCUUCAAGUCAUUUCAGACUUUGGCCUAGCCUAAGUCUAAAAUUAAUUAAUUAUUUACUGCAUUUAUUUACUACAUUUAUAUCCCACCCUUCUCACCCCGAAGGAGACUCAGAGCAGCUAUAUGUACAUACAAUAUAUUAUAUUAUUAGCUUAACACAAUAUUAGCAUUAUAUAUUACUAUAUUGAACUAUACCACUAUACUAUUAUAUUAUAUGUAAUAUAUAACAUAUAAUUAAUAUUAUUAUAUGGUAUUACUAUUAGUAUUAUAUUGUAUAACAUAAGAUUAUUAUCAAUAUUAUAUGUAUAUACAAUAUAUUAUAUUAUUAAAACUGAUAUAAAAAUAUUAUAUUAUAAAACUGAGGGCGGGGGCCAGGUAAAUGACCUUGGAGGGCCGCAUCCGGCCCCCGGGCCUUAGUUUGGGGACCCCUGUUGUUGAGUCUCUCUCCACCAAUUUAACAAAGUUUCAGCCACAAAAACAAAGUUUCUGAAGUAGACUUUCAAAGUAAAGCCAACCCAGUGAAAUAGGAAAUAACACUUUCAAACCAGGAAUAGAUUUUUGUUAUUAUUAAAAAAAUUUAAUAAAUUUUUUGAAGAUUUGCCAAAAUUCUGAGGAUAAGUCAAAUAUUCUUAGAUUUGGUGAGCUAACAGUGGUAAAUAUGUUCUACCACUGUAGCAAAUUUCAUUAGAAUAGCUCAAAAAAUGAGGGAGAUAGAAGCCCCUCAAUUUUCCCCAUUGACGAUGUUUUUCUUCCUGCGCAUGCGCAUCCACCAUUGACGAGGUACAUACAAAGAUUCAGAAGUUUCAGAACGUUUUGAAUUUUUUGCCUUCAAAAUUCAGAAAUGACUUUAGAAACAAAGUGUCAGCGCCCCCUACUUUCGAAGUGAGUUUAGAACCAUUUUUUCCUGGAUCGCACAUGCCGAUAUUUUGCAGAUCAUUCUUAACAUGACAGGGGUGCUUUGUUGUGUAAAAAAAAGGUUUGUCAAUCACUUAAUUUAUAUUCAAUAGAAUGUAAUCUAAUGACCAGUGAACCUGAAAUCAACUCAUAAAUGUGUUAUGUUCAGAUAAUUUUAUUAGGAAUUAUAGGUCUAUCAAUGGGUAAUGGUCAAGAAAGCAAAAAACCAAGCUUUCCUAUUCAGAGGCAGUGUACUGGGGUGUGCAACAGCCACUCAUUGGGGGACCACAAUAAUCCUCUGUGGGGAUUUUGAGGGCUGCAUCCCUUGCCUACUCCAACACCCAAUAGUUA
Molecule: long non-coding RNA, 2795 nt
Organism: Anolis carolinensis (green anole)
Lineage: Eukaryota; Metazoa; Chordata; Lepidosauria; Squamata; Anolidae
Source: Ensembl